This 216-nucleotide ribosomal RNA is filed under the name Glomeromycotina sp. RNAcentral describes it as "partial small subunit ribosomal RNA". The stretch from base 40 to 216 matches the Rfam family "Eukaryotic small subunit ribosomal RNA", at positions 686 to 864 of the family's 1831-position model. Lineage: Eukaryota; Fungi; Glomeromycota. The record is from RNAcentral.
GGGUCAGUAGGUUGGUCGUGCCACCGGUACGUACUGGUCUCACUGAUUCCUCCUUCCUGAAGAACCGUAAUGCCAUUAAUUUGGUGUUGCGGGGAGACAGGACUGUUACUUUGAAAAAAUUAGAGUGUUUAAAGCAAGCUAACGCUUGAAUACAUUAGCAUGGAGUAAUGAAAUAGGACGAUCGAUCCUAUUUUGUUGGUUUCUAGGAUUGACGUA